RNAcentral lists this non-coding RNA (185 nucleotides) under Paramoeba aestuarina. The record is from RNAcentral. Lineage: Eukaryota; Discosea; Flabellinia; Dactylopodida; Paramoebidae.
AAAUUUCGAGGAAGAAGUUUUGUUUCUGCAAAAACGGCUCUCUGUUCCUUCUCCUUCUCCUUCUCCUUCUCUUUAUUCUCAUUAUUCUUCCCCCUCCUCCUCUUCAAACCCACAAGGGGUCUUUCUUACAGGAUCAACGGGCUUCCUUGGCCUCCACAUCCUCGAGCAUCUCCUUGUGUCUUCUC